RNAcentral lists this ribosomal RNA (468 nucleotides) under uncultured bacterium. Its description in RNAcentral is "partial 16S ribosomal RNA". It matches the Rfam family "Bacterial small subunit ribosomal RNA", at positions 28 to 507 of the family's 1533-position model. The record is from RNAcentral.
GACGAACGCUGGCGGCGUGCUUAACACAUGCAAGUCGAACGAAGAAGCCCUGCUUGCGGGGGGUGUUCGUGGCGAACGGGUGAGUAACACGUGAGUAAACCCCCCUUAACUCUGGGAUAUGCCUGGGGGAAAGGGGCGAUUACAGGGUAGGAGCGCCUACGGCGCGGGGGGUGGUGUGGAGAUUUUUGGCGGUUGGGGGUGGACUCGCCGCAUAACAGCUUGUUGGUGGGGUAGUGGCUCACCAAGGCCUUGACGGGUAGCCGGCCUGAGAGGGUGACCGGCCACACUGGGACUGAGACACGGCCCAGACUCCUACGGGAGGCAGCAGUGGGGAAUAUUGCACAAUGGGCGGAAGCCUGAUGCAGCGACGCCGCGUGCGGGAUGACGGCCUUCGGGUUGUAAACCUCUUUCGGUAGGGAAGAAGCGAGAGUGACGGUACCUGGAGAAGAAGCACCGGCUAACUACGUG